This 496-nucleotide ribosomal RNA is filed under the name uncultured bacterium. RNAcentral describes it as "partial 16S ribosomal RNA". It matches the Rfam family "Bacterial small subunit ribosomal RNA", at positions 29 to 507 of the family's 1533-position model. The record is from RNAcentral.
AUGAACGCUGGCGGCGUGCCUCAUACAUGCCAGUCGAGCGAACAGACGAGGAGCUUGCUCCUCUGACGUUAGCGGCGGACGGGUGAGUAACACGUGGAUAACCUACCUAUAAGACUGGGAUAACUUCGGGAAACCGGAGCUAAUACCGGAUAAUAUAUUGCACCGCAUGGUUCAAUAGUGAAAGACGGUUUUGCUGUCACUUAUAGAUGGAUCCGCGCCGCAUUAGCUAGUUGGUAAGGUAACGGCUUACCAAGGCAACGAUGCGUAGCCGACCUGAGAGGGUGAUCGGCCACACUGGAACUGAGACACGGUCCAGACUCCUACGGGAGGCAGCAGUAGGGAAUCUUCCGCAAUGGGCGAAAGCCUGACGGAGCAACGCCGCGUGAGUGAUGAAGGUCUUCGGAUCGUAAAACUCUGUUAUUAGGGAAGAACAAAUGUGUAAGUAACUAUGCACGUCUUGACGGUACCUAAUCAGAAAGCCACGGCUAACUACGUG